Molecule: ribosomal RNA, 253 nt
Filed under: uncultured bacterium
Lineage: Bacteria
Description: partial 16S ribosomal RNA
Rfam family: Bacterial small subunit ribosomal RNA
Source: RNAcentral
UACAGAGGGUGCAAGCGUUGCUCGGAAUUAUUGGGCGUAAAGCGCGUGUAGGCGGCUUUGCAAGUCGGGUGUGAAAGCCCUCAGCUCAACUGAGGAAGUGCGCCCGAAACUGCAGAGCUUGAGUGCCGGAGAGGGUGGCGGAAUUCCCCAAGUAGAGGUGAAAUUCGUAGAUAUGGGGAGGAACACCGGUGGCGAAGGCGGCCACCUGGACGGUAACUGACGCUGAGACGCGAAAGCGUGGGGAGCAAACAGG